GGGGAUGAGGAGUAUCAGAGAGGCCUCAAGACCAGGUAUACUGAUCUUAAAAGAACUCCUCAAAAAACUAUCUGCAUACAAAUCUAUGGCUCUCCAAAUUUUUCCUCGGAAACCCUAAGACUCUGCCUAUAGGGAAGGACACAGUAUAGUCACCUUAGAAGAUAUUUCUCAUGAUCAAAUUUAUAAAAGUGCAAAUAACAAUUAAAAGAAAUUUUCAGGUUUUUUGCAUGUCUGACACCCAUGGCUCCACCUGGACCCGCCAACCUCUGCUCCUAUGGCCCCACUCAGAAGCAAGUGAGUUCAAGAGGACAACUUUGACCCCCUAUGAUUUUAUCUCUGCCCCAACCAAUCAGCAGCAAGCACCCAUUUCUACCCACCCACAUCCCUUCCUCCAAACUGUCUUUGAA
This 407-nucleotide long non-coding RNA is filed under the name Pan troglodytes (chimpanzee). Its description in RNAcentral is "long non-coding RNA NONPTRT010829". The record is from RNAcentral. Lineage: Eukaryota; Metazoa; Chordata; Mammalia; Primates; Hominidae.